UGCUGUUUGCAUUGCCCUACUUUUCUCGGUGGGAGCAGCAGGGCAGCAGUUUGGUUUCUCACCACAGCAGCAUUUAACCUUUGUCACGAAACAUCUGACCGUUGGUUUGAAGAAGCAGUGGAGUUUGUGUGUGUGAUGGGAGGGGUUUGGUUAGGAUUUGAAAGCGUGUGCUUCUCACCCGUUGAAACUGCCAGGUCUGUGCAUUAGAGGUGGUUUUCCCGUCAUCCUUAGAGCAAAGAUAAUUUUUGCCUGUUGUCUCUUUUUCACAGGAUCCUUGCUUGGUGCGAAAAUGGAAAAGAGUUUUGGUGUAGGAAAGAUGCCAAGUAGCUGAGCAGAUGUGGGUUACCAGAUAGAGUCCCUGACGGCUGGUGUGUGGAGUGGCUGCAGGCACUCUGAGAGUUGGAUUAAAAAGCAGCAACCUGAGCAUCCCUGUGUGAGCUGAGCAUCCGCAGGGCAGCGGAGCCCAGCAGCACCCAGGCCAAGUGCAUUCUGUUCUGAGUGAAAGCUUUGGUUCUGCCUCUGCAUCUGGUGGCUGUCAGGUACCCCCUGCUGUAAUGGCUGCCUUUUCUCUGCAGUGGGUAAAUGCUCUCUGUUUUAGGCCCACUAGUCGGCUUGCUGCCUUAGUGGCAUAACUUGUAGGACAUUGCAGUGUCUUCUGCAAGGAAAAGUAUUUUGCACGUUGGAAAAUGGUUCUGAAAACAGAGAGUUUCUAGGUAAGUGCUGCUGUAUAGUCCCAGCACUGAUGUGGAAGCUGGAAAGCAACGCUCCCUAUCCUCCCUUUCAGUGAUUUAUGUAACUUCUCUCCAUUUUACAGUAUUGUCAAGACUUGUUUUUUUCCAAACCCCAGAACAGGGCAUGUGAAUUGAAGGAAACGAUUGCUGUCCCCAAACCCACCACCCAGAGCAGCCCUUGCUGCUGGCUCUUCCGCACCCACCUCCCCGGCUCAUCCCACUGCGCUCUGCUCAGCAUUUGAAGCACAAACUGUGGCAGCUCGAGGGGGGAAGCCACAACAAUGGGCCUUUUCUUCACUCUGGGAGCGAAGCUGCAGGUCUCAGAGCGGGGGCUGCCCUCCCCAUGCUGCUGUGUCAGCACUCAGGCAUGAGAAGGUUAUUCAGCCCCCGCAGCACCCUGUUGGCAGCUGUGUUGGGUCUCCAGAGAGUGUCUGCUAUUGCUUUUCUCUCUGUGGGGGGAAAUUUGACUGCUUACAGAGGAACCGAGGAAGAAAUAAUGUCUUUUGGCUUGCUGCAGUUGUCAUAGUGUGUUUUAUCACAUUUAUCUGGAAAGUGUUGUCCAGAGCCCAGCCCGGCUUCCCAGUGCCUUUGCUGAGAAACUGAGGCGCUGAGAGGCUGUAACAAGCUGUGAUUCAUAACCUGUCACUGCAAACCUGCCAGGUUGCUGGCAGGACUCCUGUCCCGCUGCUGUAGCUGCCUGCAGAUUUAAGGGGAUGCUCUGCUUUUCUCCACUGCCCCAGGCUGCAGGAGGGGUGUGAGCGUGUUUGUUUUUUUCUGUGAGUAUAUAUUUUUUGACACUUCUCCGGUGCUGUGGGCAGCAGCAUUUGGUUUUUCUUUCCCUCCAGCUCCGAGCUGCUCUCACAGUGCUCUCACCCACUGCUGUGCUCUUUCCCAGUCCCCAGGUUGUGCCAGGCAGUGCGGGGGAGCUGGCACAGCCCUCCCACCCCGCUUCCCAUUAAUUUUACAAGUGAAUCAGAAGGUUCUUGUGAAGGUUUGUGUGGGAGUAUCGUGGAGGAGGUAGGAAGAGCUGGUCGCCCUUUAAGAGCAGCCCCAUUACAUCACUUGCCAAGAGCUUUGGGCUCUUUCAGCCGGAGCCAGAUCCACUGCUCCAGCAGCAGCACCCGUUGCCCUUAGCAACAGGCAUCUCCGUGCUGUUGCCAUGGGAACGACAGCUGGGUAGCGGAGGGCAUCUCCUGCCUUGCACAUCUCCUACCUCACACGUCACUUGCCUUGAGGACACGUUUGCCAGCCCUUCGGUGAGUGGUGCAAGCUGCAGCCAAAAGAUGCUGCCAAGAUGCCUGAGAGUGCCUGGAAGCUGCUUUUCUACACAAUAUCCUGGUCCUAUGGCUGCUACCUGCUGUUCUUCACUGACUACCCCUUCUUCUACGACCCACCGUCCGUCUUUUAUGACUGGAAGAAGGGCAUGGAUGUGCCCACGGACAUUGCUAUCGCCUACCUGUUGCAGUGCAGCUUCUACUGGCACUCCAUCUAUGCCACUGCCUACAUGGACACGUGGCGCAAGGACUCCAUUGUCAUGCUGCUCCACCACGUGGUUGCUCUGACCCUCAUAGCCUUCUCCUACGCUUUCAGGUACCACAACGUGGGCAUCCUCGUGCUCUUCCUGCAUGACAUUAAUGACGUGCAGCUGGAAUUCACUAAGCUCAAUGUCUACUUCAAGCACCGGGGGGGUGUCUAUCAUCGGCUCAACGACAUCAUCUCCAACAUUGGCUGCCUCACCUUCAGUGUCAGCUGGUUUUGGUUCCGUCUCUACUGGUUUCCCCUCAAGGUGCUCUACGCCACCUGCUACUCCAGCCUCCAGUCGGUUCCUAAUAUCCCCUUCUACUUCUUCUUCAAUGCUCUGCUCCUUGUCCUCACUCUGAUGAACAUCUACUGGUUUCUGGUGAGUAGGGGAAGCUCAGCAACCCCUACGCUGCCUCUCCUGCCUCAGCUGCUGCUGUGUGAUGCCUGCUGCCUGCCUCUCCAGGGUGGCUGUGGGAGCUGCAGGCACGGGGAAGUGUUGGGGUUUGAGUGGGAAGGGAGGAGUGCAGUGCCCAGAGGGCUUCUUGGUGCUGGAAUUGAGAAUGUUGUCUCUCAGCCCAGGGAUCCAUGGGAAGGGAUUGUGACAGACUGUUGUUGCCCGGGGCUCCUUGGCACUGGAGCAGUACAUCGUCCUGUUUGUGGCCAAGGUGCUGAUGGGGCAGGUGCACGAGGUGAAUGACGUGCGCGAGUAUGAUGUGGAGGACAGCAAGAAAACCACAGCAGCCAAGAAGAAAGAGAGCGGGCUCCAGCUGCCCAGUGCUCUGAAAGAAGGGAUGCACCUGAAGAACGGACUUGUGAAAGACAAGCGGUUAUAAGAGCGUGGCUGCUGCAGCUUGGCUGGAUCUGGGGACUGAGCCAGGACCCUACGCUCAAUCCCAGCAAAUGAAAGGCACAAGAAGAACUUAAUCCCCAACGCCCCUUCAUCCCCUGCCUGGAGCCGGGGAGGAGAUGCCACUGAUGGAACAGGCCCCUGCCAGGCCUUGCCUGUGACCAGGCUUCACCUGAUGCUGUGUGCUUUUUGUAGCCUGUAUGUGCUGGUUCGGUUGAGAGGCUUUGCUGGUCCAGGUAGGAUUUGGAGCUGGCUUUAGGUCCCCUGGUGCUUCCUCUCUCACUCCAUCCCUCAGCUAUUCUCAGUCCCUUUGUGAUUUCUCCUGUUGUUUGCAUUGGCUCCUCCCCACCACUCUGCCUCAGCAGCACUGAAGGGUCCUCUGAUGCAGUGUCAGGUGGGGAGGGGGACGUCCUGUCCUCCAUUGGCACUGCAGUAUCAGGUAUAGGGAGCCCAAAGCCAGCUCUGCUCCAGGUGCCAGCAGGCAGCAGAGAGGUGAAGCAGUGCACUUCUGGGCCUUGCUGACUUGGAGGGGUCUAACUCAAAGAUGUCUGUGCUUCUCUGGAGGCUGCGGCAUGCAGCACAGUUCUCAUGUGCAGGUCUUCCUGGAAACCCAGCCCUAGAGCAUUAUUCCGGCCCAGGAUGAGGGCCAGGACAUCUUGUUUGCUUAAAAAGCCCAUGUAAGAGAUAUCUCCAUACUCUUGUCCAGCAAUGUCUGCUUGCUUGAGUGAAGAGCAGUCAAUCUCUGCUGCCUGUGCUGGUUUUCCAGGUAGCAUUGACCUGAGCCUGGUGAAGCCUGUGUGCUGGGCUGGGUCAUACACCUCAUUGCUGUGAAGCCCUGAAACUGGGGCUGACCCAGCACAGAGCUCCCCGGCUGGAAUCAGUAGGCAGUGGUAGGAUACUGGAUGCAUCCGUUCCAGGCAUCAGAGAUUGGCUAAUUUUUUAACUUUUUUUUCUUUUUUUAAAUUUUAUUUUUUACUCUUUGUUCUCUUUAUGUUGAUUUGACUCACUGCUGCCACGUGAGCCUCAGGGAAACUGAAAGCAAAAUGUGACUUUGGCUUGAUGGAAACUGCCAAGCUGUGGCAGGAUGCGUCACCUUGUAAUUUCCUAGCAGAGUUUCAGAGGGCUCUAUCUGUGUGCUUUAGUUUCUUGGCUUUUGAACUGGAUUUGCAGGAAGGAGGAAAUGAAGGAAACUGAAUCUCAGUGCCUCGGUAUGCUGGGCACUGGCACUGGUUGGGUUGCAGCAUUUGGUGUGAGUGCCCCUGAGUGGGGGGACCCCGUGUGGGAAGUGGGUGCUGAUUGCUGUUUGUGCACCUGGGCUGUGGGAGGAUGGUGUGAGGUGGGAGCUGAAGGGCAGAGUUUGAAGAUGAUGUGGUGUGCUGGAAGUUAACAGCCUUUGGAGGAAGUGUUAAACACUGUGAUUGAAGAGCUGACUGGGAGGAGGCAGUGAGAGGAUGCCCUGACUGACCAGCGUCUCCCCAGUCUGGGUGGAGUGGCCACCAGAUCCACCUUUCUCCAGGGCACAUGGAGCAGCUCGGCGUGCUGGCAGCAUUGCCACUGCAUGGAACUUCUUGUGGGACCUCAAUGGUGUGGAGAUGCGGAAGGGGAGGGAGCUCUGAGCUGCUGUCCUGCCACAGCCUCAAAGGGUUAACAGGCCCCGAGGAGCCUGGGGGGACCGUUCACACCCUCUGCCCAAUCCUGGGAAUCCCUGUGUGCUAAUUGAGCACUAACGA
Meleagris gallopavo (turkey) is the source of this 4829-nucleotide non-coding RNA. The record is from RefSeq and is a predicted model, not a curated record. NCBI's taxonomy places the organism in Eukaryota, Metazoa, Chordata, Aves, Galliformes, Phasianidae.